This is a non-coding RNA of Marasmius sp. AFHP31, 99 nucleotides long. The record is from the annotation of a GenBank genome assembly. NCBI's taxonomy places the organism in Eukaryota, Fungi, Basidiomycota, Agaricomycetes, Agaricales, Marasmiaceae.
GCCCUCUUAGCUCAGUGGUAGAGCGCAUCACUCGUAUCUGCAGGUAGAGAAUCCCUGAUUCCGAUGAUGAGGUCCAUUGUUCAAUCCAGUGAGGGGGCA